UUUGCACGUGGAUGGGCCCACCAUCCCUGUGCGGAGAUGUGGAUGCAGUAACUUAGCCUCUAAUGGGAUCUGGGAAUAUUUUUCUCAGAAGAGCUACUGAGAACCCAUGAGGGACAUUUCUUAAUGAGUGAUAGCUCCCAGAUGAGGCUGAUGGCCCAUGGACCACGUCUGGAAGAGCUUCAGUUUAUGACAAGUUGAAAAUACCAGCGGUCUCAGCGAACAGUGCUAACUCCACCUCAAUUAUCCUUUGUUCUGAAAAUUCUUUCUCUAAGGACAUAGUCAGCAGUUUGCCCGGAUCUCACAAUUGGAAAGAGUGGAGCUGAGACCUCCAAACCCUCAUCUGCUCCACAGGUUCCCUCCCACCCCCUCCACAUCUCUGAGCAAAGCAGAGGUGCUCAGAAACAAAGCCACUUCACCUCUUUUAUCUUGUUUCCCCCGCUGCACUAGGGGCACACCUCUCACACGGCGUGUGGCAGGGUGAGUGUGAUGCUCCGGCACAGGGCUGGCCUGCCGGGGUGGUCAACGUCUGGUAGGCACGGCUCAUUUUCCUCUCUAGACUCUUACAUAACCCUGCAAGUUAGAAGAGGCCCAGGGCUGCUGCAUAAGGGUCAUUGUUCAGACUUAGCAGAGGCUGGGGAGCGCACAGUGGGUGCUCUGAAAGCCGGACCUAACCCCCGCUCAGAAACCUCGGCCUCGUGACCUGCUGUCCACUCUCCCGCCUGAGUCGUCCUCGCCUGGAGCAA
Long non-coding RNA from Bubalus bubalis (water buffalo), 743 nucleotides. RefSeq lists it as uncharacterized. The record is from RefSeq and is a predicted model, not a curated record. Lineage: Eukaryota; Metazoa; Chordata; Mammalia; Artiodactyla; Bovidae. The transcript is spliced from 4 exons.